This 441-nucleotide ribosomal RNA is filed under the name uncultured bacterium. RNAcentral describes it as "partial 16S ribosomal RNA". It matches the Rfam family "Bacterial small subunit ribosomal RNA", at positions 338 to 794 of the family's 1533-position model. The record is from RNAcentral.
CCUACGGGAGGCAGCAGUGGGGAAUAUUGGGCAAUGGGCGCAAGCCUGACCCAGCAACGCCGCGUGAAGGAAGAAGGCUCUCGGGUUGUAAACUUCUUUUGUCAGGGAAGAGUAGAAGACGGUACCUGACGAAUAAGCUACGGCUAACUACGUGCAAGCAGCCGCGGUAAUACGUAGGUGGCAAGCGUUGUCCGGAUUUACUGGGUGUAAAGGGCGUGUAGCCGGGUUGACAAGUCAGAUGUGAAAUCCUGCGGCUUAACCGCAGAACUGCAUUUGAAACUGUUGAUCUUGAGUACUGGAGAGGCAGAUGGAAUUCCUAGUGUAGCGGUGAAAUGCGUAGAUAUUAGGAGGAACACCAGUGGCGAAGGCGGUCUGCUGGACAGCAACUGACGGUGAGGCGCGAAAGCGUGGGGAGCAAACAGGAUUAGAUACCCCAGUAUC